This 46-nucleotide non-coding RNA is filed under the name Lentisphaera araneosa HTCC2155. RNAcentral's name for it is "Acido-Lenti-1 RNA". It matches the Rfam family "Acido-Lenti-1 RNA". Lineage: Bacteria; Pseudomonadati; Lentisphaerota; Lentisphaeria; Lentisphaerales; Lentisphaeraceae. The record is from Rfam by way of RNAcentral.
CCUAGCUCUCACAAGCUAGGCUGUGUUAUGUCGUACCUUUGGUACU